UAAAAGUCGUAACAAGNUUUCCGUAGGUGAACCUGCGGAAGGAU
RNAcentral lists this ribosomal RNA (44 nucleotides) under Biatoropsis minuta. Its description in RNAcentral is "partial 18S ribosomal RNA". Lineage: Eukaryota; Fungi; Basidiomycota; Tremellomycetes; Tremellales; Tremellaceae. The record is from RNAcentral.